The sequence is an unclassified non-coding RNA, 255 nucleotides long. It matches the Rfam family "RNase MRP". From Rfam's summary of the family: RNase MRP is an enzymatically active ribonucleoprotein with two distinct roles in eukaryotes. In mitochondria it plays a direct role in the initiation of mitochondrial DNA replication. In the nucleus it is involved in precursor rRNA processing, where it cleaves the internal transcribed spacer 1 between 18S and 5.8S rRNAs. The record is from Ensembl.
GGGCAUUCGGACUGCUUGCUAUCUGGGCUACACGCAGAGAACUCAGUUUCUCCUCCUCGCCCAGGGGAAAGUCCCCGGACACGAGGCAGAAAGUGCCGUGGGUAGACCCACCGCCGGCUCGCGCUCUACCACCCGUAAGCGGAGACGUUCAUGCGAACCGAGCUUGGUAGUUGCUCGCCGGCUUUGUCAGCGCUGAGAGGAAUGCAGGCGAGCCGCAGCAGCGCUCCACAGAACGGGGCUCAUUCUCGGAAUGCA